RNAcentral lists this ribosomal RNA (509 nucleotides) under Picoa juniperi. RNAcentral's name for it is "eukaryotic LSU rRNA". It matches the Rfam family "Eukaryotic large subunit ribosomal RNA", at positions 88 to 599 of the family's 3401-position model. The record is from RNAcentral. Lineage: Eukaryota; Fungi; Ascomycota; Pezizomycetes; Pezizales; Pyronemataceae.
UGCGAGUGAAGCGGCAAAAGCUCAAAUUUGAAAUCGGUGUGCCUAAAGUACAUUGAGUUGUAAUUUGGAGGGACAACUUCGGGCUGAACCACACCGUAAGUUUCUUGGAACAGGACAUCAUAGAGGGUGAGAAUCCCGUGUCUUGGUGUCGGGUCAAACCAUGUGAAGUGUCUCCGACGAGUCGAGUUGUUUGGGAAUGCAGCUCAAAAUGGGUGGUAAAUUUCAUCUAAAGCUAAAUAUUGGCGAGAGACCGAUAGCGCACAAGUAGAGUGAUCGAAAGAUGAAAAGCACUUUGAAAAGAGAGUUAAAAAGUACGUGAAAUUGUUGAAAGGGAAGCGCUUACGACCAGACUCGAUCUUUGGUGAUCAGCCGGACUUCGGUUCGGUGCCCUCGCCAUUGAUUGGGCCAGCAUCGGUUCUGACGGUGGGAUAAAAGGAGGAGGAAUGUAGCUCCUCUCGGGGAGUGUUAUAGCCACCUUCACAAUGCUACCAGUCGGGACCGAGGACCGC